This 373-nucleotide ribosomal RNA is filed under the name uncultured Gammaproteobacteria bacterium. RNAcentral's name for it is "bacterial SSU rRNA". It matches the Rfam family "Bacterial small subunit ribosomal RNA", at positions 794 to 1167 of the family's 1533-position model. The record is from RNAcentral. Lineage: Bacteria; Pseudomonadati; Pseudomonadota; Gammaproteobacteria.
UCCACGCCGUAAACGAUGUCUACUAGAAGCUCGGGUCCUCGGACUUGUUUUUCAAAGCUAACGCAUUAAGUAGACCGCCUGGGGAGUACGGCCGCAAGGUUAAAACUCAAAUGAAUUGACGGGGGCCCGCACAAGCGGUGGAGCAUGUGGUUUAAUUCGAUGCAACGCGAAGAACCUUACCUACACUUGACAUACAGAGAACUUACCAGAGAUGGUUUGGUGCCUUCGGGAACUCUGAUACAGGUGCUGCAUGGCUGUCGUCAGCUCGUGUUGUGAGAUGUUGGGUUAAGUCCCGCAACGAGCGCAACCCCUAUCCUUAGUUGCUAGCAGGUAAUGCUGAGAACUCUAAGGAGACUGCCGGUGAUAAACCGGA